CGGACGGGUGAGUAACGCGUGGAAAACCUGCCGUAUACUGGGGGAUAACACUUAGAAAUAGGUGCUAAUACCGCAUAAGCGCACAGUAUCGCAUGAUACAGUGUGAAAAACUCCGGUGGUACAGGAUGGACCCGCGUCUGAUUAGCUGGUUGGCGGGGUAACGGCCCACCAAGGCGACGAUCAGUAGCCGGCCUGAGAGGGUGAACGGCCACAUUGGGACUGAGACACGGCCCAAACUCCUACGGGAGGCAGCAG
RNAcentral lists this ribosomal RNA (255 nucleotides) under uncultured bacterium. Its description in RNAcentral is "partial 16S ribosomal RNA". It matches the Rfam family "Bacterial small subunit ribosomal RNA", at positions 99 to 354 of the family's 1533-position model. The record is from RNAcentral.